UAGAAUUUUGAUGUAUCUGUACUUUGUUAUUUACAUUUCUGACGACUUUCACUUUUACUCCACUACAUUUCAUCAAUAAAAUGAAAGUGAUGGUGUAA
Thalassophryne amazonica is the source of this 98-nucleotide long non-coding RNA. RefSeq lists it as uncharacterized. The record is from RefSeq and is a predicted model, not a curated record. The transcript is spliced from 3 exons. NCBI's taxonomy places the organism in Eukaryota, Metazoa, Chordata, Actinopteri, Batrachoidiformes, Batrachoididae.